GCGGGUAUAGUUCAGAGGUAGAACGUCAGCUUCCCAAGCUGAAUGUCGCGAGUUCGAUUCUCGCUACCCGCUCCA
RNAcentral lists this transfer RNA (75 nucleotides) under Brevundimonas diminuta. RNAcentral's name for it is "tRNA-Gly". It matches the Rfam family "tRNA". Rfam says of the family: Transfer RNA (tRNA) molecules are approximately 80 nucleotides in length. The record is from RNAcentral. Lineage: Bacteria; Pseudomonadati; Pseudomonadota; Alphaproteobacteria; Caulobacterales; Caulobacteraceae. RNAcentral also lists the same sequence under 28 other names.